UACGUAGGGCGCAAGCGUUAUCCGGAAUUAUUGGGCGUAAAGAGCUCGUAGGCGGUUUGUCGCGUCUGCCGUGAAAGUCCGGGGCUCAACUCCGGAUCUGCGGUGGAUACUGGCAGGCUAGAGUGCGGUAGAGGUCUCGGGAAUUCCAGGUGUAGCGGUGAAAUGCGUAGAUAUCUGGAGGAACACCGGUGGCGAAAGCGCGAGACUGGGCCGUAAACUGACGCUGAGGAACGAAAGCCAGGGGAGCAAAAGGG
RNAcentral lists this ribosomal RNA (254 nucleotides) under uncultured bacterium. RNAcentral describes it as "partial 16S ribosomal RNA". It matches the Rfam family "Bacterial small subunit ribosomal RNA", at positions 524 to 776 of the family's 1533-position model. The record is from RNAcentral.